GCGGCUCCCACUCCACUUCUGGCUGUACAGCACCAAGGGCUAACCCUCCUGAAAUGAGCCCUUUCUGCUCAGAGAAAAGCCCCAUCUCUGGCUGAGGGCAGACAAUUCCUCCUUCCUGAGGGCCCUGUGAAGCUGCGUGCUGCCUAAGCAUAGCAAAGAUUUUGUUGUUGUUUUUUGUUUUCCUCUCCUUCUCAGUGCCUACAGAGCCAAAGGGCCUGUUUGUUUUCCUUUUAGUUAUCAGAAAGGUUUAUUUGCAAUUGCUUGAGAGGGGAAAAAGCUCUCUGUAGCCACAGGCAGACAAGCUCAGUGCUCAGGAACAUAAUGGCUGGAGCCUGCAGGCCCAUAUGCUCGCCAUCCUGCGAGGUGGAAGGCCAGCUCCGAUCAUCUCUAGCUGCUCAGGAUACAAUUGAUCAGGGUCUCCUAAACACUCCAACCUUUUCCAGCCCACUAUUACUUGAUGCAGAAGCACAGACCGCUAAUAGCAUGAGAUGAAUAAGGCAGAUCCAGACAGCCAUCCACAGUUCCUGACCAGCUAAAGUGCUCUUACAAGAUUCCCAGCUCAGCAGAGGACCACACCAUGAUGCUUAUGGAUGCAUCCAGCUCUCAGUUAAUUCUACAAACUGCCUAGGCACCUACAUGCCAUUUUCUUUGGACAAGCAUCUACAUCAGGUGCUGCAACCCCUUAGGCAGGCAUGUAAACUAGGUAUUACAGUAUGAGACUGGACUUCCAAUCCUGAAUUUGAAGCUGUCCUGCAAGAUGAUUUUGAAGACACUUCAUCUCUGAGUGCCUCUCUUCAAAAUGCUAAGACAGGUAACAUUCACAGCACAUUGGAAGUAAGACAGCAAUUAGUUCUGGGUGCUUGUGAAUAAAAAGUGCUUUACUGAAGACACUAAGAGACUCAAUAAAUGAGCUGCUAAAUGAAUCUGAAGACCUACUGCAUAAUUUGGCUAAGUUAUAUGAUAGAAUUAGAAGGUAAAAUGAAGCAGAUGUCUUGGUCGCUGUUGUGACUCCACGGAAAUAAAUUCUUGUUACCAGUAAACAAUAACAAGAGAACCUGUCUUUAGUCUGCCACAAAACAAACAAACAAAUAAACAAAACUCUGUUAAAAUCUUUUUGAUGUCGCUUCAAGCAAAGUGUGAAAAACCUGCCUUGGUGACAGCUCUCCCCAUCUCCGGAGCCAAGCUCUGCAGACAGCCAAUAUCAUGUGUGUCCACAUAUGAUGAAUCUAACUUGGGCGUGAAAUUUUCAUUAGUUCUUGAGCAGUGCACAGAUGCAGGGUUUGACCAAUCUAAUAAGCUAACACAUACCACUGCCUGGCUGGUUAUAGCUGCAAAAAAAAGCUAAGAAAGGAAUCUGGUUGAUCCUGUAAAUAUACAUGUAUAUUUUUUCAUCCUACGCUACAACAGCAUUACCAGAUCUUUUUUCCAGUUCUUUUAGAACAGAGAAGAGAAUGCUGCAGGCCAGUAACUUGAGAAGAUCUUUGUUUCCCUCUAUAAUUUCUCUAGAUACAAUAAAAAUGAUUUUAUCAGUGAGAAACGACUCCAGUUUGUUCUUCAGCAGAACAACUUCUAGAGGAAGUCCUGAAAAGACAUAAAGCAAGGGUGUUUGUUUUUGUUUUCUGAAUAGAAACUGCCAGAAAAAUUCUCAAGCUCUCUAAUACAUGAGAAAUCUUAAGUAACAUCAACAUCUCUUAGAACUCUGAGCUGGAAUUAAAGACCAUAGAAAAGACUCUUCAGAGUACAGUAAACUGGCAGUUCAGUUCAUCUCACAAGUAUGGUGCCCAUAAGAGCUGAAAACCUGCAAAGAACCCAUUAAAACUAAGUUCUCCCUUCUGUGCGUUCUUACCCCAAGCAUAGCACUAUGCAUAACAGAAAAAGGAUAGCACCCACUCCCAAGAAAUUAAAUCCCUUGAUAGCCUUUGAAACAUUUGAAUGUCAUAUUAAUGUAUCUUAUACUCUUAGCCCCUGAUCUCCCAGCAUUACCAAGAAGGUAGUAACAGCAGACUAUAUAAACACAGAACAAUUUUUUAUGCUCCUAUUGCAUCAUAGCUCUGGACACUAGAAAAUUCCUUAAAAAGAAAAUAUUUGCAUCUCAAUGAAAGGAAAAAUAAAGUCACCAUCACCUCAAGAUAGGAAGAAUUUUUGCUGAUGUAAGGAUAAAAGUAACCCAUAGAUUGAAAAAGAGCAAGUUUUGUCUUGAUAACAUUUGAACAAAAACACUUGUACUUGAAAUAUCCAAACCAGGGGCAUGUUUCCCAGCAAGGAAUCCUGUCUGUCGCUGAUAUAUAAAGGUCUAGGGCUUUCUUUUCUAAACACUAAGAUAACAUUCAGAAGAUGAUUCAACAUACAACAGUCCAGUUUCACUGCACAAGUCUUCACACAGCUGGACCAACAGCCCGCUCAGAGGCAAACCACAGAGAGAAAGCCUGGGAGUUCCAUGAGUAGUAAUGGAGCACCCUUUGCAGCUCCUUGCAGAACACUCAUUUCCUUGCUGACAAGCACCGCCUGCGAUCUGCAGGAACGACUCGGGUUCUUUUGCCCACGAAGCCGCCCGUUUGCCCUUGCUCGCGCCGCGCAGCCACGCAGGACCAUGGACAGCAGUCCCGCGGCGUGGCGCGGCGCUCGGCCGCCCCGGAGCCCCGGCACCCGGCAGCUUCCAGCCAUUUUUAAUUAAUUAACCUCGGCUA
Long non-coding RNA from Lagopus muta (rock ptarmigan), 2687 nucleotides. RefSeq lists it as uncharacterized. The transcript is spliced from 3 exons. The record is from RefSeq and is a predicted model, not a curated record. NCBI's taxonomy places the organism in Eukaryota, Metazoa, Chordata, Aves, Galliformes, Phasianidae.